RNAcentral lists this long non-coding RNA (742 nucleotides) under Homo sapiens (human). RNAcentral describes it as "HSALNT0384345". The record is from RNAcentral. Lineage: Eukaryota; Metazoa; Chordata; Mammalia; Primates; Hominidae.
ACUGGCUGGACCCACGCGCGCGCCUCCGGGGCUGAAGAAGGAAGGAGUGAGCCGAGCCGAGCACCCCACAUCUGGAGGGGACAGCCAGCCGUGGGCCCCGCCCCGGCGUCCGGAGCAGGAGAACUCCGAGCUUCUUGCCCAGGCAGAGAGAGCAGGAGCGGACCGCGCGCCCGGGAUUGAGAGUCCUUGCGCUCCAGACCCCCACCCAGUGGCCGCCAGGGUCCCCGCCUGUCCGGACCCUCGCCGCGCCCAGGCAGGCGCGCCAGGGCGGGGCUGACCUGCCCGCGAAGUUGCGGACAGUGCGUGAGAAACCAGCACCCCCUUCCGCCGCCUCCAGCUUAUGGUGAGUGUGGCUGGGGGUGCAGAGAGCGCACGGGAAUUCGGGGGUCUGGGGCCGAGAACGUGACCGCAGCCGGGCUCGCCGGGAGUUCUAGGAAACUGGUCAAAGAACUCAUGCAAGUGGAACUUACAGCUUCCUUGAUCGGACUCAGCAUUCAGGGAGCAGAGAAAGACCAAGAGCAAGACACAGUGGAGGAGCAGCACUGAUGGAGAGACAUGCCCCAGAGGACGUGGGGAGGUGUAGGAAUCCCAGCCGCCAGAUGAGAGUUCAGCUACGACGCAGCACUGCAGGCCCAGGAAGGCCAUGGUCCAGAGGGAAUCAGAACAGAAGAGAAAUGAGGAGCCCAGAUAAGAGAUCCACCCUGAAUCCUAGUAACACACAGAGGGCGGGGAGCUCCGGUCU